GACGAACGCUGGCGGCGCGCUUAACACAUGCAAGUCGAACGGAGUUUUUUAGAAUGAAGUUUUCGGAUGGAAUUUUUUAAAACUUAGUGGCGGACGGGUGAGUAACACGUGAGCAACCUGCCUUUCAGAGGGGGAUAACGGGCUGGAAACGGUCGCUAAUACCGCAUAACGUUGCGAUAGGACAUCCUAAUGCAACCAAAGGAGCAAUCCGCUGAAAGAUGGGCUCGCGUCUGAUUAGAUAGUUGGCGGGGUAACGGCCCACCAAGUCGACGAUCAGUAGCCGGACUGAGAGGUUGAACGGCCACAUUGGGACUGAGACACGGCCCAG
This 328-nucleotide ribosomal RNA is filed under the name uncultured bacterium. Its description in RNAcentral is "bacterial SSU rRNA". It matches the Rfam family "Bacterial small subunit ribosomal RNA", at positions 28 to 334 of the family's 1533-position model. The record is from RNAcentral.